Camelina sativa (false flax) is the source of this 1791-nucleotide non-coding RNA. The record is from RefSeq and is a predicted model, not a curated record. Lineage: Eukaryota; Viridiplantae; Streptophyta; Magnoliopsida; Brassicales; Brassicaceae.
CGAUUUUGUUCUUUCUUUCUUCUUCGUGUAAGUGCGAAGAUGCUCUACAACUCUUUGUUAUACAAUUUUCAGAGCCUGCAAAUUUUGGUAACGGAUGCUCUCUCUAUCUCGGAAUUAUGCUACUGUAAAUCAAUGUUGAUCGACGAUACUCAGUUGUUUUAGCUCUACUGGGCAUGUCUUCUCUACAACUAAUAAUGGGAUUUUAAUUUCUGCUAUUUUAGAACCUGCAAUUUAUUUGGAGAAAAAUCCCGUCUUAUGUAAAUGUUACACACCUUGUUAUACAAUUUUCAUGGCACAAGGAUGCUCUAUCUAGAAAUUAUGCUACUGUAAGUCUUUCCCUUGUUAUGUUUAUCUGUAGCUUCAAUGGAUUAGGGGUUUACAGAAUUUUAGGAGGCUGCGAUUUGCUUUUCUGCUCUCAGGAGCUACAGUUAUGUUUAUCAGCAUACUCUCAAACUGGUAACAGCUAAUAAUGGGAUUUUCGUUUCUUCUUGUUCAGAACCUGCAAAUUUAUUUGAAAUGAAAGACCACCCUGUAAUUGAAGUAACUACAACAUUUUUCAUUUGCAGGUUGAUGCAAGUAAACGCAUUGUAGAACAAAAAACUCAGAAAACGAGAUGCAUCCUUUCUUUACUAUAGUCAUGAUCAUUCAUAUGUUUUGUGGUCAUAGGUGAGAAAUACCAAUGUGAACAAGGGCCAGAAACAUAGAGCAUCGGUUUGAUUCUUAAACAGCUCACAUGUUUUCCUGUCUUUGUAAAAGAUUUUGAUGUCGCUUUUAGUUCUUUUAUUGAAAAUUUUGGCAUUUCAUUAUUUAAGCUAAGGUAGCGUAUACAUAUCAGUCUGUUAUGUCACGCAAAGUCUCGUGCACAUCUUCUACCCCAGUUUGUCUCGUGCACAUCUUCUACCCCAGUUUUUUUUGUUUUUUUUACUGUUUCAGAACCUGCAAAUUCAAGAUAAUGAAGAAGCAGCCAUUUAAAGGAAUAAUUCCAUCCACUAAGGUUAUUAUUUAUACUAGUUUGAUUGAAGUCCGAUCGUAUGCAAUAGAUAUACAAAAUCCAGACGAGAUACAUGCUAUCGUCCAAGCUUAAACAAUUGCAUUUUCGUUCAAAGAACCAGCAAAUCUGCUCUAUAAUGUGUAGAAGACAAAAAUCAAUGGCGCAAGGAUGAUCUCUAUCUCGCGGAAUUAUUUUACUCUUUGUUAUACAUUUUUCAAUGGAUUAGGGGUUCACAGAAUUUUAUGGGGCUGCGAUUUGCUUCUCUUCUCUUCUCAGGAGUUGAUAUAGCAUACUCUCAAGUCUCAAAACUGGUUACAGCUAAUAAUGGGAUUUAGAACCUGCAAUUUAUUUGAUUUGUCAAGUAAGAUAAGACCACCCUCUGCACUACAAGUAACUAAAACAUUUUUAUUUGCAGGUUGAUGCAAGUAAACGUAGAACUCCGCUUAUGUAGCUCCUCUACUCAGCAAACUCUUAAGCAAUUACUUCUGGGUUUAUGUUGCUACACCUGCAAUUUUCGGAGGCAAUUAUUCCUUAAUUGCCGUGGGCUCCAGAUUUCUAUAAGCAGCUACGGUAAGGUAAUCUUGAAAUAGCUUUUCACUACGAAGCAUAAAAUUCCACUAAAGAAUAUAAUUUCACUACGAAUUAUGCAAGUCUUCUCCUUUGUCUUGUUUUUGUUGCACAAAGAUGCAUCCUUUCUUUACUAUACCUGAUAAUGACGAGUCAUGAGCAUUCAUAUGUUCUUCUGGGCAUAUUAAGAUGGAAAAGAGUAAUGCCAAUGUCACUAAGGGCCAGAAACAAAG